CCUACGGGAGGCAGCAGUGAGGAAUAUUGGUCAAUGGACGAGAGUCUGAACCAGCCAAGUAGCGUGAAGGAUGACUGCCCUAUGGGUUGUAAACUUCUUUUAUAUGGGAAUAAAACAGGGUAUGCAUACCCUCUUGUAUGUACCAUAUGAAUAAGGAUCGGCUAACUCCGUGCCAGCAGCCGCGGUAAUAAGGAGGAUCCUGGCGUUAUCCGGAUUUAUUGGGUUUAACGGGAGCGUAGGUGGAUUGUUAAGUCAGUUGUGAAAGUUUGCGGCUCAACCGUAAAAUUGCAGUUGAAACUGGCAGUCGUGAGUACAGUAGAGGUGGGCGGAAUUCGUGGUGUAGCGGUGAAAUGCUUAGAUAUCACGAAGAACUCCGAUUGCGAAGGCAGCUCACUGGACUGCAACUGACACUGAUGCUCGAAAGUGUGGGUAUCAAACAGGAUUAGAUACCCUAGUAGUC
This 460-nucleotide ribosomal RNA is filed under the name uncultured bacterium. Its description in RNAcentral is "partial 16S ribosomal RNA". It matches the Rfam family "Bacterial small subunit ribosomal RNA", at positions 338 to 795 of the family's 1533-position model. The record is from RNAcentral.